This 260-nucleotide unclassified non-coding RNA is filed under the name uncultured archaeon. Its description in RNAcentral is "Archaea_SRP". The record is from RNAcentral.
CUGUAGACUAGGUUGGCGGGUUAGCCCUCCGCUGUUUGCAAGCGGGCUUUAUGCAGACUGCAAGAAGGCGAGUGAUUGAAUGUCAAAAAGUCUUUAUUCGGACGUUGACGCUUUGCCUGUUUUGAUCUUGCAGAUGCGAAACGGGUCAGGUCUUGAUCGAAGCAGCCCUAAACAUUUGUUGAGAUGCUUGACAGAAAACAAAGCAGAGAAAGAAUAGAGGAAGCUUUUUGGUUUUUAUGAGCAAACCUUCGAGUCUACAC